AACGAACGCUGGCGGCAUGCCUAACACAUGCAAGUCGAACGAGACCUUCGGGUCUAGUGGCGCACGGGUGCGUAACGCGUGGGAACCUGCCCUUAGGUUCGGAAUAACUCCCCGAAAGGGGUGCUAAUACCGGAUAAUGUCUUCGGACCAAAGAUUUAUCGCCUUUGGAUGGGCCCGCGUUGGAUUAGCUAGUUGGUAGGGUAAAAGCCUACCAAGGCGACGAUCCAUAGCUGGUCUGAGAGGAUGAUCAGCCACACUGGGACUGAGACACGGCCCAGACUCCUACGGGAGGCAGCAGUGGGGAAUAUUGGACAAUGGGCGAAAGCCUGAUCCAGCAAUGCCGCGUGAGUGAUGACGGCCUUAGGGUUGUAAAGCUCUUUUACCCGGGAUGAUAAUGACAGUACCGGGAGAAUAAGCUCCGGCUAACUCCGUG
This 433-nucleotide ribosomal RNA is filed under the name uncultured bacterium. RNAcentral's name for it is "partial 16S ribosomal RNA". It matches the Rfam family "Bacterial small subunit ribosomal RNA", at positions 29 to 507 of the family's 1533-position model. The record is from RNAcentral.